AUAUUGCACAAUGGGGGGAACCCUGAUGCAGCAACGCCGCGUGAGUGAAGAAGUGAUUCGUUAUGUAAAGCUCUAUCAGCAGGGAAGAUAAUGACGGUACCUGACUAAGAAGCCCCGGAUAACUACGUGCCAGCAGCCGCGGUAAUACGUAGGGGGCAAGCGUUAUCCGGAUUUACUGGGUGUAAAGGGACCGUAGGUGGCAGGGCAAGUCAGAUGUGAAAUCCCGGGGCUCAACCCCGGUCUUGCAUUUGAAACUGUCCAGCUGGAGUGCAGGAGAGGUAAGCGGAAUUCCUAGUGUAGCGGUGAAAUGCGUAGAUAUUAGGAGGAACACCAGUGGCGAAGGCGGCUUACUGGACUGUAACUGACACUGAGGCUCGAAAGCGUGGGGAGCAAAC
This 395-nucleotide ribosomal RNA is filed under the name uncultured bacterium. Its description in RNAcentral is "bacterial SSU rRNA". It matches the Rfam family "Bacterial small subunit ribosomal RNA", at positions 361 to 773 of the family's 1533-position model. The record is from RNAcentral.